UGGGGAAUAUUGGGCAAUGGGCGAAAGCCUGACCCAGCGACGCCAUGUGGGUGAUGAAGGCCUUCGGGUCGUAAAGCCCUGUUAAGUGGGAAGAAGAGUUCGAGGGUGAAUAAUCCUUGGACUUUGACGGUACCACUGGAGGAAGCACCGGCUAACUCCGUGCCAGCAGCCGCGGUAAUACGGAGGGUGCAAGCGUUGUUCGGAAUUACUGGGCGUAAAGGGCGCGUAGGCGGUGAUGUAAGUCAGACGUGAAAUACUUCGGCUCAACCGGAGAACUGCGUCUGAUACUGCAACACUAGAGUACAGAAGAGGGAAACGGAAUUCCAGGUGUAGAGGUGAAAUUCGUAGAUAUCUGGAGGAACACCGGUGGCGAAGGCGGUUUCCUGGUCUGAUACUGACGCUGAGGCGCGAAAGCGUGGGGAGCAAACAGG
RNAcentral lists this ribosomal RNA (431 nucleotides) under uncultured Syntrophorhabdaceae bacterium. RNAcentral's name for it is "bacterial SSU rRNA". It matches the Rfam family "Bacterial small subunit ribosomal RNA", at positions 355 to 776 of the family's 1533-position model. Lineage: Bacteria; Pseudomonadati; Thermodesulfobacteriota; Syntrophorhabdia; Syntrophorhabdales; Syntrophorhabdaceae. The record is from RNAcentral.